RNAcentral lists this ribosomal RNA (498 nucleotides) under uncultured bacterium. RNAcentral's name for it is "partial 16S ribosomal RNA". It matches the Rfam family "Bacterial small subunit ribosomal RNA", at positions 28 to 507 of the family's 1533-position model. The record is from RNAcentral.
GACGAACGCUGGCGGCGUGCCUAAUACAUGCAAGUCGAACGAGAGCGACCGGUGCUUGCCCUGGUCAAUCUAGUGGCGCACGGGUGAGUAACACGUGGGUAACCUGCCCAUCAGAGGGGGAUAACAUCCGGAAACGGAUGCUAAAACCGCAUAGGUCUUCGAGCCGCAUGGCUUGAAGAGGAAAAGAGGCGCAAGCUUCUGCUGAUGGAUGGACCCGCGGUGCAUUAGCUAGUUGGUGAGGUAACGGCUCACCAAGGCCGGGAUGCAUAGCCGACCUGAGAGGGUGAUCGGCCACAUUGGGACUGAGACACGGCCCAAACUCCUACGGGAGGCAGCAGUAGGGAAUCUUCCGCAAAGGACGCAAGUCUGACGGAGCAACGCCGCGUGAGUGAAGAAGGUUUUCGGAUCGUAAAACUCUGUUGUUAGAGAAGAACAAGUGCUAGAGUAACUGUUAGCGCCUUGACGGUAUCUAACCAGAAAGCCACGGCUAACUACGUG